This 313-nucleotide ribosomal RNA is filed under the name uncultured bacterium. RNAcentral describes it as "bacterial SSU rRNA". It matches the Rfam family "Bacterial small subunit ribosomal RNA", at positions 28 to 334 of the family's 1533-position model. The record is from RNAcentral.
GAUGAACGCUGGCGGCGUGCCUAACACAUGCAAGUCGAGCGGAGAUCAUGGAGAGCUUGCUCAAAGUGAUUUUAGCGGCGGACGGGUGAGUAACGCGUGAGCAAUCUGUCCUACACAGGGGGAUAACAGCUGGAAACAGCUGCUAGUACCGCAUAAGACCACAGUACCGCAUGGCACAAGGGUCAAAGGUUUAUCGGUGUAGGGUGAGCUCGCGUCCCAUUAGAUAGUUGGCGGGGUAACGGCCCACCAAGUCGACGAUGGGUAGCCGACCUGAGAGGGUGAUCGGCCACACUGGGACUGAGACACGGCCCAG